This 749-nucleotide ribosomal RNA is filed under the name Pseudoalteromonas sp. UOH-58. RNAcentral's name for it is "bacterial SSU rRNA". It matches the Rfam family "Bacterial small subunit ribosomal RNA", at positions 45 to 787 of the family's 1533-position model. The record is from RNAcentral. Lineage: Bacteria; Pseudomonadati; Pseudomonadota; Gammaproteobacteria; Alteromonadales; Pseudoalteromonadaceae.
GGCCUAACACAUGCAUGUCGAGCGGUAACAGAAAGUAGCUUGCUACUUUGCUGACGAGCGGCGGUACGGGUGAGUAAUGCUUGGGAACAUGCCUUGAGGUGGGGGACAACAGUUGGAAACGACUGCUAAUACCGCAUAAUGUCUACGGACCAAAGGGGGCUUCGGCUCUCGCCUUUAGAUUGGCCCAAGUGGGAUUAGCUAGUUGGUGAGGUAAUGGCUCACCAAGGCAACGAUCCCUAGCUGGUUUGAGAGGAUGAUCAGCCACACUGGGACUGAGACACGGCCCAGACUCCUACGGGAGGCAGCAGUGGGGAAUAUUGCACAAUGGGCGCAAGCCUGAUGCAGCCAUGCCGCGUGUGUGAAGAAGGCCUUCGGGUUGUAAAGCACUUUCAGUCAGGAGGAAAGGUUAGUAGUUAAUACCUGCUAGCUGUGACGUUACUGACAGAAGAAGCACCGGCUAACUCCGUGCCAGCAGCCGCGGUAAUACGGAGGGUGCGAGCGUUAAUCGGAAUUACUGGGCGUAAAGCGUACGCAGGCGGUUUGUUAAGCGAGAUGUGAAAGCCCCGGGCUCAACCUGGGAACUGCAUUUCGAACUGGCAAACUAGAGUGUGAUAGAGGGUGGUAGAAUUUCAGGUGUAGCGGUGAAAUGCGUAGAGAUCUGAAGGAAUACCCGAUGGCGAAGGCAGCCACCUGGGUCAACACUGACGCUCAUGUACGAAAGCGUGGGGAGCAAACAGGAUUAGAUACCC